UCGAGAGUAGAUAAAGUUAUCACCAAUAAAGUCAAAAUCUUUGUCGUAACACUUAUAAUUAGUGCCGUCCUCGUCUGAGCAGAACCAAAAAGCAUCAAAUCUGUAUGGUGACCAACAAUAAUCAUGGAAGGAAUUGUAAAUUUCAGUAUCAAAAGGAAGCAUUGUUUUAGACAAUAAAAUUCAGGGGCAAACCAUGAAUACCAGAAAAAAAACUAUCAAAUAUUCAAAAAAUGGAAAUUCCCAUGGUAAGCGGAAUGGGUAUCGUCUAAGACCACUAGGAAGAAGCUCCCGUGAAAUGAUGGAAUUUGAUGCCGAACGUAGAAAAUUGGAUAUCUGGAGAUUUGGACAUAAUUUUCUGACGGAUAAUAUCGAAGAAGUUACAAGAAAUCAAUAUUACUUCCCAAUUAAAAAAUUCCAUAGAUUGAACUACUGAAAAUUAAUUAUCCUCAAAUAAACUGUUUCAUGUGUUGGAUGCAGA
Molecule: long non-coding RNA, 478 nt
Organism: Coccinella septempunctata (seven-spotted ladybird)
Lineage: Eukaryota; Metazoa; Arthropoda; Insecta; Coleoptera; Coccinellidae
Exons: 2
Source: RefSeq, a predicted model, not a curated record